RNAcentral lists this ribosomal RNA (375 nucleotides) under uncultured organism. Its description in RNAcentral is "partial 16S ribosomal RNA". It matches the Rfam family "Bacterial small subunit ribosomal RNA", at positions 525 to 896 of the family's 1533-position model. The record is from RNAcentral.
CGGGGGGGUGCAAGCGUUAUUCGGAAUCACUGGGCGUAAAGAGCGCGUAGGCGGUCUCUUAAGUCAGAUGUGAAAAGCCCGGGGGCUCAACCCCGGAAGUGCAUUUGAAACGAAGGGACUUGAGUAUGGGAGAGGGAAGUGGAAUUCCUGGUGUAGCGGUGAAAUGCGUAGAUAUCAGGAGGAACACCGGUGGCGAUGGCGACUUCCUGGACCAAUACUGACGCUGAGGCGCGAAGGCGUGGGGAGCAAACAGGAUUAGAUACCCUGGUAGUCCACGCAGUAAACGUUGAACACUAGGUGUAGCGGGUAUUGACCCCUGCUGUGCCGCAGCUAACGCAUUAAGUGUUCCGCCUGGGGAGUACGGCCGCAAGGCUA